Molecule: unclassified non-coding RNA, 310 nt
Filed under: Hevea brasiliensis (rubber tree)
Lineage: Eukaryota; Viridiplantae; Streptophyta; Magnoliopsida; Malpighiales; Euphorbiaceae
Source: RNAcentral
GGAAGAGAUACAUUUAUUUCAGCUGGCUUAUUCCUAGAAUCAGGAGCUGACCAAUUAUCUACGCGGAAAGAAGAGGAAGUUGGUGUAGUUUGUUUUACUGAGGACUGAUAAGGGUCUUCCGUCUCGGGUAGAGGAACAGCAGCAAUAAUGGGCUCUGGUUUGUUUUUCUUGGUUCUCUGCUCAUGUUGAUCUCCAGCAAGAAAGCUACCUAUAACAAUCUGCACAGGACUGGCAGCUACUAAUAGACCGGCUACUCCACCUCCUACAACACGCCCAUCAGGACUAGCUAGAGAUACACUCAUUCCGCCAG